Molecule: ribosomal RNA, 566 nt
Filed under: uncultured archaeon
Lineage: Archaea
Description: bacterial SSU rRNA
Rfam family: Archaeal small subunit ribosomal RNA
Source: RNAcentral
GCACCACAAGGGGUGAAGCCNGCGGUUCAAUUGGAGUCAACGCCAGAAAUCUUACCCGGAGAGACAGCAGAAUGAAGGUCAAGCUGAAGACUUUACCAGACAAGCUGAGAGGUGGUGCAUGGCCGUCGCCAGCUCGUGCCGUGAGAUGUCCUGUUAAGUCAGGUAACGAGCGNGNNCCCCUGCCNCCUAGUUGCCACCAUUACUCUCAGGAGUAGUGGGGCGAAUUAGCGGGACCGCCGCAGUUAAUGCGGAGGAAGGAAGGGGCCACGGCAGGUCAGUAUGCCCCGAAACUCUGGGGCCACACGCGGGCUGCAAUGGUAAUGACAAUGGGUCCCGAAUCCGAAAGGAAGAGGUAAUCCUCAAACAUUACCACAGUUAUGACUGAGGGCUGCAACUCGCCCUCACGAAUAUGGAAUNCCUAGUAACUGCGUGUCAUUAUCGCGCGGUGAAUACGUCCCUGCUCCUUGCACACACCGCCCGUCGUUUCAUUGAAGUGAGCUUUUAGUGAGGUGACGUCUGAUUGGCGUUAUCGAACUUGAGGUUCGCGACAAGGGAAAAGUCGUAAC